Molecule: ribosomal RNA, 828 nt
Filed under: Liquorilactobacillus satsumensis
Lineage: Bacteria; Bacillati; Bacillota; Bacilli; Lactobacillales; Lactobacillaceae
Description: bacterial SSU rRNA
Rfam family: Bacterial small subunit ribosomal RNA
Source: RNAcentral
GUAUACGUAGGUGGCAAGCGUUGUCCGGAUUUAUNGGGCGUAAAGGGAACGCAGGCGGUCUUUUAAGUCUGAUGUGAAAGCCUUCGGCUUAACCGAAGUCGUGCAUUGGAAACUGGGAGACUUGAGUGCAGAAGAGGAGAGUGGAACUCCAUGUGUAGCGGUGAAAUGCGUAGAUAUAUGGAAGAACACCAGUGGCGAAAGCGGCUCUCUGGUCUGUAACUGACGCUGAGGUUCGAAAGCGUGGGUAGCAAACAGGAUUAGAUACCCUGGUAGUCCACGCUGUAAACGAUGAAUGCUAAGUGUUGGAGGGUUUCCGCCCUUCAGUGCUGCAGCUAACGCAUUAAGCAUUCCGCCUGGGGAGUACGACCGCAAGGUUGAAACUCAAAGGAAUUGACGGGGGCCCGCACAAGCGGUGGAGCAUGUGGUUUAAUUCGAAGCAACGCGAAGAACCUUACCAGGUCUUGACAUCUUUUGCUAACCUGAGAGAUCAGGCGUUCCCUUCGGGGACAAAAUGACAGGUGGUGCAUGGUUGUCGUCAGCUCGUGUCGUGAGAUGUUGGGUUAAGUCCCGCAACGAGCGCAACCCUUAUUACUAGUUGCCAGCAUUUAGUUGGGCACUCUAGUGAGACUGCCGGUGACAAACCGGAGGAAGGUGGGGAUGACGUCAAAUCAUCAUGCCCCUUAUGACCUGGGCUACACACGUGCUACAAUGGACGGUACAACGAGUCGCAAGACCGCGAGGUUUAGCUAAUCUCUUAAAACCGUUCUCAGUUCGGAUUGUAGGCUGCAACUCGCCUACAUGAAGUCGGAAUCGCUAGUAAUCGCGGAU